Molecule: transfer RNA, 75 nt
Filed under: Richelia sp. RM2_1_2
Lineage: Bacteria; Bacillati; Cyanobacteriota; Cyanophyceae; Nostocales; Nostocaceae
Description: tRNA-Leu
Rfam family: tRNA
About the family: Transfer RNA (tRNA) molecules are approximately 80 nucleotides in length. Their secondary structure includes four short double-helical elements and three loops (D, anti-codon, and T loops). Further hydrogen bonds mediate the characteristic L-shaped molecular structure. tRNAs have two regions of fundamental functional importance: the anti-codon, which is responsible for specific mRNA codon recognition, and the 3' end, to which the tRNAs corresponding amino acid is attached (by aminoacyl-tRNA synthetases). tRNAs cope with the degeneracy of the genetic code in two manners: having more than one tRNA (with a specific anti-codon) for a particular amino acid; and 'wobble' base-pairing, i.e. permitting non-standard base-pairing at the 3rd anti-codon position.
Source: RNAcentral
GUCCAUAUACUCCAAUUGGUAGAGAGGCUACGUUGAGAACGUAGAUUAGUGCUGGUUCGAAUCCAGUUAUGGACA